AAAAUGCGAUACUUGGUGUGAAUUGCAGAAUCCCGUGAACCAUCGAGUUUUUGAACGCAAGUUGCGCCCGAAGCCAUCCGGCUGAGGGCACGCCUGCCUGGGCGUCACGCAUCGCGUCGCUCCCCACCAUACCUCCCCAACGGGUUGGCAUGGUGUUGGGGGCGGAUAAUGGCCUCCCGUGCUUGUGUUUCGGUUGGCCUAAAUAAGAGUUCCCUUCGGCGGACACACGACUAGUGGUGGUUGAAUAGACCCUCGUCUUUUGUUGCGUGUCGUGAGCUGUAAGGGUAGCCCUCAUCAAAGACCCCAUUGUAUCGUCUUCGGAUGAUGCUUCGACCGCGACCCCAGGUCAGGCGGGGCUACCCGCUGAGUUUAAGC
This 375-nucleotide unclassified non-coding RNA is filed under the name plant metagenome. Its description in RNAcentral is "partial contains 5.8S ribosomal RNA, internal transcribed spacer 2, and large subunit ribosomal RNA". The stretch from base 1 to 107 matches the Rfam family "5.8S ribosomal RNA", at positions 50 to 154 of the family's 154-position model. The record is from RNAcentral.